UAAAGGUAAACGCCUUCCCCAAGGCCAAUGGAUGCAUUAGCCGAAGUUGAAGAGGCUGAUUGGCCCCACAUUGGGGAUUGAGACCCCGGCCCCAGACUCCUUACGGGGAGGCAACCAGUAGGGAAUUUUUCCACAAUGGGCGCAAGCCUGAUGGAGCAACCCCCGCGUGAGUGAAGAAGGGUUUCGGUUCGUAAAACUCUGUUGUUAAAGAAGAACGUAUCUGAGAGUAACUGUUCAGAUAGUGACGGUAUUUAACCAGAAAGCCCCGGCUAACUACGUGCCAGCAGCCGCGGUAAUACGUAGGUGGCAAGCGUUAUCCGGAUUUAUUGGGCGUAAAGGGAGUGCAGGCGGUUAUUUAAGUCUGAUGUGAAAGCCUUCGGCUUAACCGGAGAAGGGCAUCGGAAACUGGAUAACUUGAGUGCAGAAGAGGGUAGUGGAACUCCAUGUGUAGCGGUGGAAUGCGUAGAUAUAUGGAAGAACACCAGUGGCGAAGGCGGCUACCUAGUCUGUAACUGACGCUGAGGCUCGAAAGCAUGGGUAGCAAACAGGAUUAGAUACCCUGGUAGUCCAUGCCGUAAACGAUGAAUACUAGGUGUUAGGGGGUUUCCGCCCCUUAGUGCCGCAGCUAACGCAAUAAGUAUUCCGCCUGGGGAGUACGACCGCAAGGUUGAAACUCAAAGGAAUUGACGGGGACCCGCACAAGCGGUGGAGCAUGUGGUUUAAUUCGAAGCUACGCGAAGAACCUUACCAGGGCUUGACAUCUUCUGCUAAUCCGAGAGAUCGGACGUUCCCUUCGGGGACGGAAAGACAGGUGGUGCAUGGUUGUCGUCAGCUCGUGUCGUGAGAUGUUGGGUUAAGUCCCGCAACGAGCGCAACCCUUAUGAUUAGUUGCCAGCAUUAAGUUGGGCACUCUAAUGAGACUGCCGGUGACAAACCGGAGGAAGGUGGGGACGACGUCAAAUCAUCAUGCCCCUUAUGUCCUGGGCUACACACGUGCUACAAUGGAUGGUACAACGAGCAGCGAAGUCGCGAGGCCAAGCAAAUCUCUUAAAGCCAUUCUCAGUUCGGACUGUAGGCUGCAACUCGCCUACACGAAGUCGGAAUCGCUAGUAAUCGCGGAUCAGCAUGCCGCGGUGAAUACGUUCCCGGGUCUUGUACACACCGCCCGUCACACCAUGAGAGUUUGUAACACCCAAAGUCGGUGGGGUAACCUUCGGGAGCCAACCGCCUAAGGUGACCAAGAUUUGGGU
RNAcentral lists this ribosomal RNA (1250 nucleotides) under Furfurilactobacillus rossiae. RNAcentral's name for it is "bacterial SSU rRNA". It matches the Rfam family "Bacterial small subunit ribosomal RNA", at positions 253 to 1481 of the family's 1533-position model. The record is from RNAcentral. Lineage: Bacteria; Bacillati; Bacillota; Bacilli; Lactobacillales; Lactobacillaceae.